GUUCUUGAACAAGGGUCUAUCUGACUUCAACUUGGCACUGGACCUGGGGUUCCUGACCAAGGCUAGGAAAUACACCUUCUUCAAGCCCAAGUUCAUCUUCUACGCCACCUACCUGUCCGAGAAGAUUGGGUACUGGAGGUACAUCACCAUCUUCAGGCACCUCAAGGCGAACCCAGAGUACCAGGUGUACCCCAUCUUCAAGUACUUCGAGAACUGGUGCCAGGAUGAGAACAGGCACGGUGACUUCUUCUCUGCCCUGCUAAAGGCUCAGCCGCAGUUCCUCAAUGACUGGAAGGCCAAGCUCUGGUCACGGUUCUUCUGCCUCUCGGUAAUUUC
RNAcentral lists this long non-coding RNA (336 nucleotides) under Setaria viridis. Its description in RNAcentral is "long non-coding RNA (SVIR_LNC005154)". Lineage: Eukaryota; Viridiplantae; Streptophyta; Magnoliopsida; Poales; Poaceae. The record is from RNAcentral.